This 924-nucleotide non-coding RNA is filed under the name Engystomops pustulosus (Tungara frog). Its description in RNAcentral is "partial 12S ribosomal RNA". It matches the Rfam family "Bacterial small subunit ribosomal RNA". The record is from RNAcentral. Lineage: Eukaryota; Metazoa; Chordata; Amphibia; Anura; Leptodactylidae.
GGUUUGGUCCUGACCUUAAAAUCAAUUAUUUCUUAAUAUAUACAUGCAAGUCUCAGCCCCCCUGUGAAAACGCCCUUAAAUCCCCCUUAGGGAUAAGGAGCUGGUAUCAGGCACGAAACUCUGCCCAAAACACCUAGCCAUGCCACACCCACAAGGGAAUUCAGCAGUAAUUAACAUUGAAUAUAAGCGCCAGCUUGACUCAGUUAAAGAAAAUAGAGCCGGCUAAUCUGGUGCCAGCCGCCGCGGUUACACCACGUGACUCAAAUUGAUUUUAAUCGGCGUAAAGCGUGAUUUAAGCACUAAAAAAUUAAAGUUAAACUUAAACUAAGCUGUAACACGCUUGUUUUUAAGAAAAUCUAAUACGAAAGUUACUUUAAUUAUAACCACUUGAACUCACGACAAUUAGAACACAAACUGGGAUUAGAUACCCCACUAUGUCUAAUCGUAAACUUUAACUUACACCUCCAUCGCCUGGGAACUACGAGCAAAGCUUAAAACCCAAAGGACUUGACGGUACCCCAAAUCCACCUAGAGGAGCCUGUCCUAUAAUCGAUAACCCCCGUUUAACCUCACCACCCCUAGUCACUCAGCCUGUAUACCUCCGUCGUCAGCUUACCACGUGAGCGAACUAUAGUGAGCUUAAUGUUAUUACAUCAAUACGUCAGGUCAAGGUGCAGCACAUGAGGUGGGAAGAGAUGGGCUACACUUUCUAUUUUAGAAUAUACGAAAAAUUAUAUAUGAAAAUAAGUUUGAAGGCGGAUUUAGAAGUAAAGAGAGAUAAUUAUGCUCUCUUAAACAAGGCACUGGGGUGUGUACACACCGCCCGUCACCCUCUUCAAAGCUAACUUAUAGUAUUUAACCACAUUUGCUACUCAGAAGAGGCAAGUCGUAACAUGGUAAGUAUACCGGAAGGUGUGCUUGGAA